UGGGGGAUAUUGCACAAUGGGCGAAAGCCUGAUGCAGCGACGCCGCGUGGGGGAUGAAGGCCUUCGGGUUGUAAACUUCUUUUGCUCUGAACAAGGCAUGCCUUUGGGGUGUGUUGAGUGUAGGGGUUGAUUAGCGCCGGCUAACUACGUGCCAGCAGCCGCGGUAAUACGUAGGGCGCGAGCGUUGUCCGGAAUUAUUGGGCGUAAAGGGCUUGUAGGUGGCUGGUUGCGUCUGUCGUGAAAGCUCAUGGCUUAACUGUGGGUUUGCGGUGGGUACGGGCUGGCUUGAGUGCAGUAGGGGAGGCUGGAAUUCCUGGUGUAGCGGUGGAAUGCGCAGAUAUCAGGAGGAAUACCGGUAGCGAAGGCGGGUCUCUGGGCUGUUACUGACGCUGAGGAGCGAAAGCGUGGGGAGCGAACAGG
This 420-nucleotide ribosomal RNA is filed under the name Fusobacteriota bacterium. Its description in RNAcentral is "Fusobacteria bacterium partial 16S ribosomal RNA". It matches the Rfam family "Bacterial small subunit ribosomal RNA", at positions 355 to 776 of the family's 1533-position model. Lineage: Bacteria; Fusobacteriati; Fusobacteriota. The record is from RNAcentral.